This 253-nucleotide ribosomal RNA is filed under the name uncultured bacterium. RNAcentral describes it as "partial 16S ribosomal RNA". It matches the Rfam family "Bacterial small subunit ribosomal RNA", at positions 524 to 776 of the family's 1533-position model. The record is from RNAcentral.
UACGGGGGGGGCAAGCGUUGUUCGGAAUUACUGGGUGUAAAGGGCUCGUAGGUGGCCAACUAAGUCAGACGUGAAAUCCCUCAGCUUAACUGGGGAACUGCGUCUGAUACUGGAUGGCUUGAGUUUGGGAGAGGGAUGCGGAAUUCCAGGUGUAGCGGUGAAAUGCGUAGAUAUCUGCAGGAACACCCGUGGCGAAAGCGGCGCGCUGGACCACUACUGACGCUGAGGAACGAAAGCUAGGGGAGCAAACAGG